CCUACGGGGUGCAGCAGUGAGGAAUAUUGGUCAAUGGGCGGGAGCCUGAACCAGCCAAGUCGCGUGAGGGAAGAAGGUACUGAGUAUUGUAAACCUCUUUUGCCAGGGGACAAAGGCGGCCACGGGUGGCCGGAAGAGGGUACCUGGAGAAAAAGCAUAGGCUAACUCCGUGCCAGCAGCCGCGGUAAUACGGAGGAUGCGAGCGUUAUCCGGUUUUAUGGGGUUUAAAGGGUUCGAAGGGGGCGUGCCAAGUCAGCGGUAAAAUGUCGGGUCUCAACCCCGGCCGGCCGUUGAAACUGGCGUGCUCGAGUGGGGGAGAGGUAUGCGGAAUUCGUGGUGUAGCGGUGAAAUGCAUAGAUAUCACGAAGAACCCCGAUUGCGAAGGCAGCAUACCGGCUCCACACUGACGCUGAGGCACGAAAGCGUGGGUAUCGAACAGGAUUAGAUACCCUUGUAGUC
This 459-nucleotide ribosomal RNA is filed under the name uncultured bacterium. Its description in RNAcentral is "partial 16S ribosomal RNA". It matches the Rfam family "Bacterial small subunit ribosomal RNA", at positions 338 to 795 of the family's 1533-position model. The record is from RNAcentral.